This 468-nucleotide ribosomal RNA is filed under the name uncultured bacterium. RNAcentral describes it as "partial 16S ribosomal RNA". It matches the Rfam family "Bacterial small subunit ribosomal RNA", at positions 28 to 507 of the family's 1533-position model. The record is from RNAcentral.
GACGAACGCUGGCGGCGUGCUUAACACAUGCAAGUCGAACGGAAAGGCCCUGCUUUUGUGGGGUGCUCGAGUGGCGAACGGGUGAGUAACACGUGAGUAACCUGCCCUUGACUUUGGGAUAACUUCAGGAAACUGGGGCUAAUACCGGAUAGGAGCUCCUGCUGCAUGGUGGGGGUUGGAAAGUUUCGGCGGUUGGGGAUGGACUCGCGGCUUAUCAGCUUGUUGGUGGGGUAGUGGCUUACCAAGGCUUUGACGGGUAGCCGGCCUGAGAGGGUGACCGGCCACCAUGGGACUGAGAUACGGCCCAGACUGCUACGGGAGGCAGCAGUGGGGAAUAUUGCACAAUGGGCGGAAGCCUGAUGCAGCAACGCCGCGUGCGGGAUGACGGCCUUCGGGUUGUAAACCGCUUUCGCCUGUGACGAAGCGUGUGUGACGGUAAUGGGUAAAGAAGCACCGGCUAACUACGUG